AUUCAGAUGACGAGUCCAAAACAGGAAGAAAUGCGCAUCCCUAAU
Molecule: non-coding RNA, 45 nt
Filed under: Trichobilharzia regenti
Lineage: Eukaryota; Metazoa; Platyhelminthes; Trematoda; Strigeidida; Schistosomatidae
Source: RNAcentral